UAAACCUACAUUUGCCAUUAAACUGUCCCAUAUUAAGAAUUUAAGUUGUCUCAUAUAUUUUAAACGUGUUUUACCAGAAAGAUUAAAAGUGGGUUACCUCAUGCACUGGUUAGCAUCAUAAAAUAACCGUAUCCUGAGACCAAUUAUUAACUCACUAAAUUAUAAAAUCUGAUAAACUAAUCGUACAAAAGAUAAUACAAUACAUUUUAAAGUGAUAGGCAAGUCUACAUCUACAUAAUAAUUUGUAUUUUUUAAAUAACACAUUCAUAGCAUAACAAU
Molecule: non-coding RNA, 279 nt
Organism: Cinara cedri
Lineage: Eukaryota; Metazoa; Arthropoda; Insecta; Hemiptera; Aphididae
Source: the annotation of a GenBank genome assembly